CCUACGGGAGGCUGCAGUGGGGAAUAUUGCACAAUGCGCGAAACCCUGAUGCAGCGACGCCGCGUGAGUGAAGAAGUAUUUCGGUACGUAAAGCUCUAUCAGCAGGGAAGAAAAUGACGGUACCUGACCAAGAAUCCCUGGCUAACUACGGGCCAGCACCCGGGGUAAUACGCAGGGGGCAAGCGUUAUCCGGAUGUACUGGGUGUAAAGGGAGCGUAGACGGCUGCGCAAGUCUGGAGUGAAAUGCCGGGGCACAACCCCGGAACUGACGUGGAAACUGUGCAGCUGGAGUGCGGGAGAGGUAUGCGGAAUGCCUAGUGUAGCGGUGAAAUGCAUAGAUAUGAGGAGGAACGCCAGUGGCGAAGGCAGCUUACUGGACUGUAACUGACGUUGAGGCUCGAAAGCGUGGGGAGCGAACAGGAUUAGAUACCCUAGUAGUC
Molecule: ribosomal RNA, 440 nt
Filed under: uncultured bacterium
Lineage: Bacteria
Description: partial 16S ribosomal RNA
Rfam family: Bacterial small subunit ribosomal RNA
Source: RNAcentral